Long non-coding RNA from Juglans microcarpa x Juglans regia, 361 nucleotides. RefSeq lists it as uncharacterized. The transcript has 2 exons. The record is from RefSeq and is a predicted model, not a curated record. NCBI's taxonomy places the organism in Eukaryota, Viridiplantae, Streptophyta, Magnoliopsida, Fagales, Juglandaceae.
UUAGAACCCGAGACACCGUUUCGAUUUCAACCCCGAAAUUAAACCCAGGAUUGAUUGAAUAUUGUCGACCGAUGUCAUCAAUCUCUGGCCACAAAGUUCCAACUACAAAAUCACAUCCUAUGAGCAUCAACAUAAGAGACAGGUUGAAGAAAGGUAGAUAUUCAUUUCAAACAAGUUGCUUAUUUGACACAAGUACUUGAUACCCCAAAAAGAAAGGGGUAAAACCAAAGAAAGGAAACAGAAGUAUAAACUAUGGAUUCUUUGCAGUAUUUCUGGGCAUGGGUGCAAGUCCAAAGAACUUGCUUGAAGAGAGAGAUUACAUUGAGCUUAAAGAUAAGAGAGCAGUAUAGAAUUUGGAUAU